CUGCAUUAUACUUGGACUUUGUGAUUGAAAUGGAGUCUUGCAGAAGUGAACUCCCAGGAAUGAACUAAGUUACCAAACAGAUACAAAGAAGGAAGUAUAAGAAAAGUUGGAGGCAGCAGCUUACUUCCCUGUCUCAAGAAAAAUGCUAACCCCUACAUAAGGACUGGUCUUCACUAACUGCACAGUGGUCAUUUGCUGAGGAUUGAGAGCCCCUGUGCGUUUGGUGACGAUUUUAACAAAGAGACCCAGGACAGGAGAUUGAAAGGUGCCUGUUGUCCCAGACAUUCAAGAUCUUUUCACAGAGUGCUGGCCAUGAAGGAAUGUGGUCCAGUGA
Molecule: long non-coding RNA, 334 nt
Filed under: Mus spicilegus (steppe mouse)
Lineage: Eukaryota; Metazoa; Chordata; Mammalia; Rodentia; Muridae
Description: lncRNA (ENSMSIG00000026975.1)
Source: RNAcentral